Small nuclear RNA from Pteronotus mesoamericanus, 108 nucleotides. Lineage: Eukaryota; Metazoa; Chordata; Mammalia; Chiroptera; Mormoopidae. The record is from RefSeq and is a predicted model, not a curated record.
AUGCUCACAUUGACAGCACAUAUACUAAAAAUUGUAAUGAUAUGGAGAAGAUUAGCAUGGCCCCUGAGCAAGGAGGAUGCAUAAAUUCAUGAAGCGUUCCUUACUUUU